UGGGGAAUAUUGCACAAUGGGGGAAACCCUGAUGCAGCGACGCCGCGUGAAGGAAGAAGUAUCUCGGUAUGUAAACUUCUAUCAGCAGGGAAGAAAAUGACGGUACCUGACUAAGAAGCCCCGGCUAACUACGUGCCAGCAGCCGCGGUAAAACGUAGGGUGCAAGCGUUGUCCGGAAUUACUGGGUGUAAAGGGAGCGCAGGCGGGAAGACAAGUUGGAAGUGAAAACCAUGGGCUCAACCCAUGAAUUGCUUUCAAAACUGUUUUUCUUGAGUAGUGCAGAGGUAGAUGGAAUUCCCGGUGUAGCGGUGGAAUGCGUAGAUAUCGGGAGGAGCACCAGUGGCGAAGGCGGUCUACUGGGCACCAACUGACGCUGAGGCUCGAAAGCAUGGGUAGCAAACAGGAUUAGAUACCCUGGUAGUCCAUGCCGUAAACGAUGAUUACUAGGUGUUGGGGGAUUGACCCCCUCAGUGCCGCAGUUAACACAAUAAGUAAUCCACCUGGGGAGUACGACCGCAAGGUUGAAACUCAAAGGAAUUGACGGGGGCCCGCACAAGCAGUGGAGUAUGUGGUUUAAUUCGAAGCAACGCGAAGAACCUUACCAGGUCUUGACAUCCGAUGCAUAACACAGAGAUGUGUGAAAUCCUUCGGGACAUCGAGACAGGUGGUGCAUGGUUGUCGUCAGCUCGUGUCGUGAGAUGUUGGGUUAAGUCCCGCAACGAGCGCAACCCUUAUUGCCAGUUACUACGUUAAGAGGACUCUGGCGAGACUGCCGUUGACAAAACGGAGGAAGGUGGGGAUGACGUCAAAUCAUCAUGCCCUUUAUGACCUGGGCUACACACGUACUACAAUGGCGUUAAACAAAGAGAAGCAAGACCGCGAGGUGGAGCAAAACUCAAAAACAACGUCUCAGUUCAGAUUGCAGGCUGCAACUCGCCUGCAUGAAGUCGGAAUUGCUAGUAAUCGCGGAUCAGCAUGCCGCGGUGAAUACGUUCCC
Molecule: ribosomal RNA, 997 nt
Filed under: uncultured bacterium
Lineage: Bacteria
Description: bacterial SSU rRNA
Rfam family: Bacterial small subunit ribosomal RNA
Source: RNAcentral